CUACGGGUCGCUCCAGUGGGGAAUAUUGCACAAUGGGCGCAAGCCUGAUGCAGCCAUGCCGCGUGUAUGAAGAAGGCCUUCGGGUUGUAAAGUACUUUCAGCGGGGAGGAAGGGAGUAAAGAUAAUACCUUUGCUCAUUGACGUUACCCGCAGAAGAAGCACCGGCUAACUCCGUGCCAGCAGCCGCGGUAAUACGGAGGGUGCAAGCGUUAAUCGGAAUUACUGGGCGUAAAGCGCACGCAGGCGGUUUGUUAAGUCAGAUGUGAAAUCCCCGGGCUCAACCUGGGAACUGCAUCUGAUACUGGCAAGCUUGAGUCUCGUAGAGGGGGUAGAAUUCCAGGUGUAGCGGUGAAAUGCGUAGAGAUCUGGAGGAAUACCGGUGGCGAAGGCGGCCCCCUGGACGAAGACUGACGCUCAGGUGCGAAAGCGUGGGGAGCAAACAGGAUUAGAUACCCCGGUAGUC
RNAcentral lists this ribosomal RNA (463 nucleotides) under uncultured bacterium. RNAcentral describes it as "partial 16S ribosomal RNA". It matches the Rfam family "Bacterial small subunit ribosomal RNA", at positions 339 to 795 of the family's 1533-position model. The record is from RNAcentral.